RNAcentral lists this ribosomal RNA (467 nucleotides) under uncultured bacterium. RNAcentral's name for it is "partial 16S ribosomal RNA". It matches the Rfam family "Bacterial small subunit ribosomal RNA", at positions 28 to 507 of the family's 1533-position model. The record is from RNAcentral.
GACGAACGCUGGCGGCGUGCUUAACACAUGCCAGUCGAACGGAAAGGCCUCUUUCUGGGGGUACUCGAGUGGCGAACGGGUGAGUAACACGUGAGUAACCUGCCCUUGACUUUGGGAUAACUUCAGGAAACUGGGGCUAAUACCGGAUAGGAGCUCCUGCUGCAUGGUGGGGGUUGGAAAGUUUCGGCGGUUGGGGAUGGACUCGCGGCUUAUCAGCUUGUUGGUGGGGUAGUGGCUUACCAAGGCUUUGACGGGUAGCCGGCCUGAGAGGGUGACCGGCCACAUUGGGACUGAGAUACGGCCCAGACUCCUACGGGAGGCAGCAGUGGGGAAUAUUGCACAAUGGGUGGAAGCCUGAUGCAGCAACGCCGUGUGCGGGAUGACGGCCUUCGGGUUGUAAACCGCUUUCGCUCAUGACGAAGCUUUGUGUGACGGUAGUGGGUAAAGAAGCACCGGCUAACUACGUG